RNAcentral lists this ribosomal RNA (1010 nucleotides) under uncultured archaeon 'Soyang 1Af-1100Ar'. RNAcentral describes it as "bacterial SSU rRNA". It matches the Rfam family "Archaeal small subunit ribosomal RNA", at positions 23 to 1038 of the family's 1478-position model. Lineage: Archaea; Methanobacteriati; Methanobacteriota; Methanomicrobia; Methanomicrobiales. The record is from RNAcentral.
GUUACUGCUAUCGAGGUUCGACUAAGCCAUGCGAGUCGAAUGUAGCAAUACAUGGCGUACUGCUCAGUAACACGUGGAUAACCUACCCUUGAGAUGGGAAUAAACCCGGGAAACUGGGUAUAAUACCCGAUAGAUCUCGACUGCUGGAAUGCAUCGAGAUCCAAAGCUCCGGCGCUCAAGGAUGGGUCUGCGGCCUAUCAGGUAGUAGUGGGUGUAGCGUACCUACUAGCCUACGACGGGUACGGGUUGUGAGAGCAAGAGCCCGGAGAUGGAUUCUGAGACACGAAUCCAGGCCCUACGGGGUGCAGCAGGCGCGAAAACUUUACAAUGCUGGAAACAGCGAUAAGGGGACCUCGAGUGCCAGGUUACAAAUCUGGCUGUCGUGAUGCCUAAAAAGCAUUGCAUAGCAAGGGCCGGGCAAGACCGGUGCCAGCCGCCGCGGUAACACCGGCGGCUCGAGUGGUAACCGUUAUUAUUGGGUCUAAAGGGUCUGUAGCCGGCCGGAUAAGUCUCUUGGGAAAUCUGGCAGCUUAACUGUCAGGCUUUCAGGAGAUACUGUCUGGCUCGAGGCCGGGAGAGGUKAGAGGUACUUCAGGGGUAGGGGUGAAAUCUUGUAAUCCUUGAAGGACCACCAGUGGCGAAGGCGUCUCACCAGAACGGACCUGACGGCAAGGGACGAAAGCUAGGGGCACGAACCGGAUUAGAUACCCGGGUAGUCCUAGCCGUAAACGAUACUCGCUAGGUGUCGGCAACGGUGCGACCGUUGUCGGUGCCGUAGGGAAGCCGUGAAGCGAGCCACCUGGGAAGUACGGCCGCAAGGCUGAAACUUAAAGGAAUUGGCGGGGGAGCACCACAACGGGUGGAGCUUGCGGUUUAAUUGGAUUCAACGCCGGAAAUCUUACCGGGACCGACAGCAAUAUGAAGGCCAGGCUGAAGACUUUGCCGGAUUAGCUGAGAGGUGGUGCAUGGCCGUCGUCAGUUCGUACUGUGAAGCAUCCUGUUAAGUCAGG